This 252-nucleotide ribosomal RNA is filed under the name uncultured bacterium. RNAcentral describes it as "partial 16S ribosomal RNA". It matches the Rfam family "Bacterial small subunit ribosomal RNA", at positions 524 to 776 of the family's 1533-position model. The record is from RNAcentral.
UACGGGGGGAGCAAGCGUUGUUCGGAUUUACUGGGCGUAAAGGGCGCGUAGGCGGCGUGACAAGUCACUUGUGAAAUCUCCGGGCUUAACUCGGAACGGUCAAGUGAUACUGUCGGACUAGAGUACAGAAGGGGCAACUGGAAUUCUCGGUGUAGCGGUGAAAUGCGUAGAUAUCGAGAGGAACACCUGCGGCGAAGGCGGGUUGCUGGGCUGAUACUGACGCUGAGGCGCGAAAGCCAGGGAGCGAACGGG